This 432-nucleotide unclassified non-coding RNA is filed under the name soil metagenome. RNAcentral's name for it is "partial contains 5.8S ribosomal RNA, internal transcribed spacer 2, and large subunit ribosomal RNA". The stretch from base 1 to 120 matches the Rfam family "5.8S ribosomal RNA", at positions 35 to 154 of the family's 154-position model. The record is from RNAcentral.
GAUGAAGAACGUAGCGAAAUGCGAUACGUAAUGUGAAUUGCAGAAUUCAGUGAAUCAUCGAAUCUUUGAACGCAUAUUGCGCUUUCUGGUACUCCGGAGAGCAUGCUUGUUUGAGUAUCAGUAAACACCUCAACUUCCAUAUCUUUUUUGAAAUGGGAGUUGGACUUGAGUGAUCCCAACGCUUUUCCUCACCGAAAAGUGGCGGGUUACUUGAAAUGCAGGUGCAGCUGGACUUUUCUCUGAGCUAUAAGCAUAUCUAUUUAGUCUGCCUAAAAACAGAUUAUUACCUUUGCUGCAGCUAACAUAAAGGAGAUUAGUUCUUGUGCAGACUGAUGCAGGAUUCACAAAGACAGGCUUCGGCCGACUUUGUAAACUCGAUCUCAAAUCAAGUAAGACUACCCGCUGAACUUAAGCAUAUCAAUAAGCGGAGGA